AACGCACAUUGCGCCCUCUGGUAUUCCGGAGGGCAUACCUGUUUGAGCGUCAGUUCUCUCUCAAAAAAGAUUUUAUUUUUUUUGGUAUUGCUCGUACUUUUCUUAAGUUGAGUGAAAUGAAUUGGCAAGGCAGUUUUCUAGCUAUCAACGUAUUAGGUUUUACCAUUUCGUUGGAAGAGCAAAAAGACAAGCCGGGCGAUAUAACUGGGUUUUACCCAAAUAUUUGACCUCAAAUCAGGCAGGACUACCCGCUGAACUUAA
This 261-nucleotide unclassified non-coding RNA is filed under the name Sugiyamaella sp. RNAcentral's name for it is "partial contains 5.8S ribosomal RNA, internal transcribed spacer 2, and large subunit ribosomal RNA". The stretch from base 1 to 52 matches the Rfam family "5.8S ribosomal RNA", at positions 103 to 154 of the family's 154-position model. The record is from RNAcentral. RNAcentral also lists the same sequence under 3 other names. Lineage: Eukaryota; Fungi; Ascomycota; Dipodascomycetes; Dipodascales; Trichomonascaceae.